This 450-nucleotide ribosomal RNA is filed under the name uncultured bacterium. RNAcentral describes it as "bacterial SSU rRNA". It matches the Rfam family "Bacterial small subunit ribosomal RNA", at positions 354 to 796 of the family's 1533-position model. The record is from RNAcentral.
GUGGGGAAUAUUGGACAAUGGGCGAAAGCCUGAUCCAGCCAUGCCGCGUGUGUGAAGAAGGUCUUCGGAUUGUAAAGCACUUUAAGUUGGGAGGAAGGGCAGUAAGUUAAUACCUUGCUGUUUUGACGUUACCGACAGAAUAAGCACCGGCUAACUUCGUGCCAGCAGCCGCGGUAAUACGAAGGGUGCAAGCGUUAAUCGGAAUUACUGGGCGUAAAGCGCGCGUAGGUGGUUUUGUAAGUUGGAGGUGAAAUCCCCGGGCUCAACCUGGGAACUGCCUCCAAAAAUGCAUGACUAGAGUACGGUAGAGGGUAGUGGAAUUUCCUGUGUAGCGGUGAAAUGCGUAGAUAUAGGAAGGAACACCAGUAGCGAAGGCGACUACCUGGACUGAUACUGACACUGAGGUGCGAAAGCGUGGGGAGCAAACAGGAUUAGAUACCCCUGUAGUCC